CCCUUAGAUGUUCUGGGCCGCACGCGCGCUACACUGAUGCAUUCAACAAGCCUAGCCUUGACCGAGAGGUCCGGGUAAUCUUUGAAACUGCAUCGUGAUGGGGCUAGAUUAUUGCAAUUAUUAAUCUUCAACGAGGAAUGCCUAGUAAGCGUGAUUAAUCAAAUCGCGUUGAUUACGUCCCUGCCCUUUGUACACACCGCCCGUCGCUCCUACCGAUUGAAUGUGUUGGUGAGGAGCUCGGAUUGGCAGCAGUUGGUGGUUCGCCACCGGCUAUUGCUGAGAAGUCCUCCAAACCGCCCCAUUUAGAGGAAGGAGAAGUCGUAACA
Molecule: ribosomal RNA, 326 nt
Filed under: uncultured eukaryote
Lineage: Eukaryota
Description: partial 18S ribosomal RNA
Rfam family: Eukaryotic small subunit ribosomal RNA
Source: RNAcentral